Ziziphus jujuba (common jujube) is the source of this 772-nucleotide long non-coding RNA. RefSeq lists it as uncharacterized. The record is from RefSeq and is a predicted model, not a curated record. NCBI's taxonomy places the organism in Eukaryota, Viridiplantae, Streptophyta, Magnoliopsida, Rosales, Rhamnaceae. The transcript is spliced from 5 exons.
GUUCCCCCUCCCCCUCCCCCGGCUCAUUUUUGUCCCAAACUCAAACAAAGCCCUACUUUGUUCUCUCGCCGAAAUAGAUCAUUGGCUCACUGUGGAAAAUCAAAGGAGCUCGCUGGAACACGGUGGAAAUUGAAGGAGCUUGCCAGACAUCUGCAUCUCUCGGAGAAAGAAACACGAUCGAUGAAAACAGAAUAUAUUGGAUAAAGGUGUCUGGGCACUCUUCAUUGUAUCUUCCUCUUCCCAAAUCUUAUCGAUUAUCCCUCGAACACAAAACCUUAGCAGCCUCAUGUCUCUGACUUUGGUCUAGCAAAGAUUUUGGUUGAUGAGGAUGCCCAUGUCACAACUGUUGUUGCUGGCACUUUUGGAUAUUUGGGACCAGUUAGCAGAAGAGGAAGAAAUAAGAAGGUUAAGAAAGGAGCUGGUCCUUAUUUUGACAGGCCCUUCAUUCCCAGAAGAUCAAUGAAAAAUCCAACUAUUCCUAAAGAACCAAAGUUCCAUACACCUCAACAGAAGAUCAAAUGUAGCCUGUUGUGGAAUGACAUGAGCUCCUACACGUACAACACUGAAGUUUGAAGACAGAAAAAAAAAAAAUGUAUUAGCAUUCAUUUGUUAUCCCCUUAUCCCCUUCAUUGAAUUAGCACCCCCUUCCUCCCUCAGUUUGUAGUCCAACUUAAUUAAAUAUGAAGAAGCUCUUAAUUGGAUAAACAUAAUGUUUGUGGGUGAAAAAAAAAAUUACAAUUCUAUAAGUAUAUAAUAUUUAUAAUUCUAGUUA